AGUGAACGCUGGCGGUAGGCCUAACACAUGCAAGUCGAACGGCAGCACAGUAAGAGCUUGCUCUUACGGGUGGCGAGUGGCGGACGGGUGAGGAAUACAUCGGAAUCUACUUUUUCGUGGGGGAUAACGUAGGGAAACGCACGCUAAUACCGCAUACGACCUACGGGUGAAAGCAGGGGAUCUUCGGACCUUGCGCGAUUGAAUGAGCCGAUGUCGGAUUAGCUAGUUGGCGGGGUAAAGGCCCACCAAGGCGACGAUCCGUAGCUGGUCUGAGAGGAUGAUCAGCCACACUGGAACUGAGACACGGUCCAGACUCCUACGGGAGGCAGCAGUGGGGAAUAUUGGACAAUGGGCGCAAGCCUGAUCCAGCCAUACCGCGUGGGUGAAGAAGGCCUUCGGGUUGUAAAGCCCUUUUGUUGGGAAAGAAAAGCAGCAGGUUAAUACCCCGCUGUUCUGACGGUACCCAAAGAAUAAGCACCGGCUAACUUCGUG
RNAcentral lists this ribosomal RNA (492 nucleotides) under uncultured bacterium. RNAcentral's name for it is "partial 16S ribosomal RNA". It matches the Rfam family "Bacterial small subunit ribosomal RNA", at positions 29 to 507 of the family's 1533-position model. The record is from RNAcentral.